RNAcentral lists this ribosomal RNA (253 nucleotides) under uncultured bacterium. RNAcentral describes it as "partial 16S ribosomal RNA". It matches the Rfam family "Bacterial small subunit ribosomal RNA", at positions 524 to 776 of the family's 1533-position model. The record is from RNAcentral.
UACGUAGGUGGCAAGCGUUGUCCGGAUUUACUGGGCGUAAAGAGCGCGCAGGCGGUCGUUCAAGUCGCGUGUGAAAGCCCCCGGCUCAACUGGGGAGGGUCACGCGAUACUGAUCGACUCGAAGGCAGGAGAGGGUAGUGGAAUUCCCGGUGUAGUGGUGAAAUGCGUAGAUAUCGGGAGGAACACCAGCGGCGAAGGCGGCGACCUGGUCAGAUACUGACGCUGAGGCGCGAAAGCGUGGGGAGCAAACAGG